RNAcentral lists this ribosomal RNA (481 nucleotides) under uncultured bacterium. RNAcentral describes it as "bacterial SSU rRNA". It matches the Rfam family "Bacterial small subunit ribosomal RNA", at positions 28 to 507 of the family's 1533-position model. The record is from RNAcentral.
GAUGAACGCUGGCGGCGUGCUUAACACAUGCAAGUCGAACGGAGAGCCUAUGACGGAGUUUUCGGACAACUGAUUAGGUUCUUAGUGGCGGACGGGUGAGUAACGCGUGAGGAACCUGCCUUGGAGUGGGGAAUAACACAGAGAAAUUUGUGCUAAUACCGCAUAAGACCACGAGGUCGCAUGGCCUUGAGGUAAAAGAUUUAUCGGUGUAGGGUGAGCUCGCGUCUGAUUAGCUAGUUGGUGAGGUAACGGCCCACCAAGGCGACGAUCAGUAGCCGACCUGAGAGGGUGAUCGGCCACAUUGGAACUGAGACACGGUCCAGACUCCUACGGGAGGCAGCAGUGGGGAAUAUUGGGCAAUGGGCGCAAGCCUGACCCAGCAACGCCGCGUGAAGGAAGAAGGUUUUCGGAUUGUAAACUUCUGUCCUUGGUGACGAAGAAAGUGACGGUAGCCAAGGAGGAAGCCCCGGCUAACUACGUG